AACGAACGCUGGCGGCAUGCCUAACACAUGCAAGUCGAACGAUCCCUUCGGGGAUAGUGGCGCACGGGUGCGUAACGCGUGGGAACCUGCCCUUAGGUUCGGAAUAACUCAGAGAAAUUUGAGCUAAUACCGGAUAAUGUCUUCGGACCAAAGAUUUAUCGCCUUUGGAUGGGCCCGCGUUGGAUUAGCUAGUUGGUGGGGUAAAGGCCUACCAAGGCGACGAUCCAUGGCUGGUCUGAGAGGAUGAUCAGCCACACUGGGACUGAGACACGGCCCAGACUCCUACGGGAGGCAGCAGUGGGGAAUAUUGGACAAUGGGCGAAAGCCUGAUCCAGCAAUGCCGCGUGAGUGAUGAAGGCCUUAGGGUUGUAAAGCUCUUUUACCCGGGAUGAUAAUGACAGUACCGGGAGAAUAAGCCCCGGCUAACUCCGUG
Molecule: ribosomal RNA, 433 nt
Filed under: uncultured bacterium
Lineage: Bacteria
Description: partial 16S ribosomal RNA
Rfam family: Bacterial small subunit ribosomal RNA
Source: RNAcentral